GAUGAACGCUGGCGGCGUGCCUAACACAUGCAAGUCGAACGGAGUUCUUAAGGAAUGCGACUUCGGUCAAAUGACUUUUGAACUUAGUGGCGGACGGGUGAGUAACGCGUGAGCAACCUGCCUUUCAGAGGGGGAUAACGUUCUGAAAAGAACGCUAAUACCGCAUAUAAUCAAGAAACCGCAUGAUUUUUGAUGAAAGGAGCAAUCCGCUGAGAGAUGGACUCGCGUCUGAUUAGCUAGAUGGUGGGGUAACGGCCUACCAUGGCGACGAUCAGUAGCCGGACUGAGAGGUUGAACGGCCACAUUGGGACUGAGACACGGCCCAGACUCCUACGGGAGGCAGCAGUGGGGGGAUAUUGCGCAAUGGGGGAAACCCUGACGCAGCAAUGCCGCGUGAAGGAAGAAGGUUUCGGAUUGUAAACUUCUUUGUUAAGGACGAAGAAUGACGGUACUUAACGAAUAAGCUCCGGCUAACUAUGUG
RNAcentral lists this ribosomal RNA (481 nucleotides) under uncultured bacterium. RNAcentral's name for it is "bacterial SSU rRNA". It matches the Rfam family "Bacterial small subunit ribosomal RNA", at positions 28 to 507 of the family's 1533-position model. The record is from RNAcentral.